Molecule: long non-coding RNA, 427 nt
Filed under: Neogobius melanostomus (round goby)
Lineage: Eukaryota; Metazoa; Chordata; Actinopteri; Gobiiformes; Gobiidae
Description: lncRNA (ENSNMLG00000000036.1)
Source: RNAcentral
CUGAGUUUGGCGCCAGAAGAAAGUCUAUCAGUUUUGAAUUGCAAAAGCCCCCAAAGUUUCAACAUGAGGAAGCCGAGAGCGUGACAGAGGUGACUGAGGAAAGGCUGGAUGAGUUGGUGCACAUUUGCCUGAGAGAGACAGAAACCAUCUCCCUGUUGGACAUCCCUCACGUGUGCUGCCCCACGACACCGAGGGCGCUGAGGAGCUGAAAGAGAGUAAUCGGCGUUACAUUGAGUUGUGUAAAGGCAAACCCGGAAAUGAAAAAUAUGUGGAGCGAGAGAUGCAGACUUUGGACAACGCCCCCAAAACUACAGGCACUCAGACAGACCCACUGGUCACUGCAGAUACAGACUCAGUGGCAACAGGCUGGGACAUCUAUGACUCCAUGAAUGAGUCGACUAACUCCACGGCUGUGCUGGAAAUGAGA